AUAUCAAUAAGCGGAGGAAAAGAAACCAACAGGGAUUGCCUUAGUAACGGCGAGUGAAGCGGCAACAGCUCAAAUUUGAAAUCUGGCUUCAGUCGAGGCCCGAGUUGUAAUUUGUAGAGGAUGUUUCGGGCGCGGUACCGGCCUAAGUUCCUUGGAACAGGGCGUCAUAGAGGGUGAGAAUCCCGUCUGCGGCCGGCCUCCAACCCCAUACGAAACUCCUUCGACGAGUCGAGUUGUUUGGGAAUGCAGCUCAAAAUGGGUGGUAAAUUUCAUCUAAAGCUAAAUACCUGCCAGAGACCGAUAGCGCACAAGUA
This 314-nucleotide ribosomal RNA is filed under the name uncultured eukaryote. RNAcentral describes it as "partial large subunit ribosomal RNA". It matches the Rfam family "Eukaryotic large subunit ribosomal RNA", at positions 40 to 350 of the family's 3401-position model. The record is from RNAcentral.